RNAcentral lists this non-coding RNA (598 nucleotides) under Pan troglodytes (chimpanzee). The record is from RNAcentral. Lineage: Eukaryota; Metazoa; Chordata; Mammalia; Primates; Hominidae.
GCUCAGCACGUGGCCCUCGAGGACUUGGCGGCUGCGCGGCUGGCGCGUGAAGAAGUUGCGCAUCAUGCUGUGGGCUGCGCGCCGCUGCACCUUCCAGUGCUCCGAGUAGUGGCCGAAAGCCAUGCUGCGGCCGCCGGACACCACACGGAAGGAGGCGAAGGACGGCCGGUCGGCGAAGGCCGAGCCCUGCUGCACCAGGGCCUGGUGGAUGGCGCGCUCGCCAUUCAGCACCACUAUGGGGCAGCUGCCCAGGCGGAUCUGGAAAACGUCGCCGUAGCGCCGCGCCAGGCGAGCGAACGAGAGGCAGCACUGAGAAGUGAAGGAAUAUUUGGGAGGAUCAGAAGCUUGGUCCUGAUUUUGCCAUCAACAGGAACUUGAUGACUUCAAGGGAGUCCCCAAACCCUGGGUUUCUGUUUUCUCAACUCUAACAUGAGGGGCUAGAUGCAUCUGGUUUAGUUAGUCUCCAUGAUGGUUUAGUUCGUCUCCAUGAUCCUGUGAAUUUCAGAUGUUGAAAAUCUUUGGAAAAGCCCUGAAAGAUGAACAGUGGUCUCAAAUAGUCAAGACCCCCUGCUGGGAGGAGCUAUCCUGCUCUUUGGAA